Transfer RNA from Hypholoma sublateritium FD-334 SS-4, 74 nucleotides. It matches the Rfam family "tRNA". Rfam says of the family: Transfer RNA (tRNA) molecules are approximately 80 nucleotides in length. Their secondary structure includes four short double-helical elements and three loops (D, anti-codon, and T loops). The record is from Rfam. Lineage: Eukaryota; Fungi; Basidiomycota; Agaricomycetes; Agaricales; Strophariaceae.
GGCCGACUGGCUUAGUUGGUUAUGGCGUCGUGCUAAUAACACGAAGGUCUUGGGUUCAAUCCCCAAGUUGGCCA